Empidonax traillii (willow flycatcher) is the source of this 2237-nucleotide long non-coding RNA. RefSeq lists it as uncharacterized. The transcript has 4 exons. The record is from RefSeq and is a predicted model, not a curated record. NCBI's taxonomy places the organism in Eukaryota, Metazoa, Chordata, Aves, Passeriformes, Tyrannidae.
CCGCUGGAAUAGGUUACUCAGAGAAGCCGUGGAUGCCCCAUCCCCAUGAGUGUUCAAGUCUGGCUUGGCUGGAGCUCGGAGCAACCUGUUCCAGUGUCUCUGCCUGUGGCACGGGGAUUGGGACUGGGUGACCGUCAAGGUCCUUUCCAACUCGAACCAAUCUGCGGUUUCAUGAUCUUGUUGUAAGGUGUUGCUCCGCUUAAUCUCUGCCUUUCCGUGCUGCUGGGAAAAGGCGGGUGGGCUUCGGCGGCGGGAUGUUGGGCUGUGUUUGGGAUGCGCUUGGGAUGAUGGCUGUUGGGGUUGGAGGGGUGCAGAUUUCUCACCAGCGUGCUUGGCUUUUAAGAUCAGUAUUAGAUUUAAAAUUACUGUUGCCUGUCUCUUAACAGGAGCUGCUAUAAACUUAACACAGCAAUGCCGUAACAUUAUUAACCUGUAGUUAAUUUUUAAUUUCAAUAGGUGACUCGAGUCACCAGUCAUUUAUGGCAUCAUUUUUCUCAUGCAGAACCCUCACUUCUUUCAGAUAGUCUUAAAAUCUGUGGGCAUUCCGAGGACUGGAAUCUGAAUUUGGGUUUCACUGCAUGUUAGAGUUUGGAUAGGAUACUUAGAGUGUCUUACAGACUCCUUAGAGUUUGGAUAAGUGAAUUUUAACUCUCUUGCUUAUUGUCUUUUGUAGAUUUGUCUACCAGCAACUACAGAAAAUUAAUGAAUUUAACUACAAAUACCAAUGGUCUCUGUCAGUGCACCUGCCCAUCAUCUCAAGGACAUCACAACAUGCUGCUGUGCUUUUUUAAACCCAGAUGGCCUGGUCUGGUGGAAAUUUUUCAGGUGGAGAUAUACAGGAGCAAGCUCUACCAUUUAAUAAGGAGGAUUAAAAGUAAGAUCAGGAAACACCCAGCCCAAAUGUGUGAGACAGAUAUGGCAGGUCAGAUUUCAGGCUAUCCUAAAAUGGACCAAAGUGGAAAUGAGUCUUACAGCAUGGGAGAUGAAAAUAAUGAAAGCAAAUAAAAUCUUGCAAAAAAUAACUGUCCUGUUGCCUGUGUAUCAGAUGCCUCAAAAUAUGAGUUUUCGCUAUUGUGAUAUGAGCCUGAGCAUCAUCCUUAUGCCUCUCACUGUUGUGAAGUGAACACCUUGUUUGGAGAAGCAGUGGCUCAUUUGCAGCUUGACAAACCCUGCAGUGCUGACUUCUCUUCUAUAUUCCAAGAGAAAGGAUGGAGAGGCCCAGUCUGUGAAUCUUAGCACCUCUCUCAUUUUACAGUGUUUGAACCCAGACCUUUGCUGGGGAGGUAAAAACCCCUAGAGCUGAACCAAGGUGUAAACAUCACAACAAAAAUAGCUGCAAGCUAGAUGUGAAGGGUCAGCUCUUUCUGUGGAAGAUGCUUGUGCCUUAAAGCUGGGUUCUGAGAGAAGGCAGCACUUUUACAACACGUGCAAUAGAGCACUAGAGCCAGAAAAAGCUGAGCAAAUCCAUUGAAAGGGUCAUGCUGUGGAUCGUGGUUUUAAAUGUGUAUUAUCCCACAACCAAGUGGAUCUUAGUGGAAAAUCAUUGAAAAAUCACACAAGCGGAUAAAAGAAACCCACCAGUGCCUCAUCUCUGAAAGUGCUUUUAUGUCACAAGAUGCCCGGAAACUGCACAGAAACAGCCAUCAAAGGAGACCUCGUCCCAGUGCAUGGUGUAACUCUCAUCUUCUGAAACUGAGCAGAUAAGAAAUCUUCAUAUAGCUUGCUUACCCUUAUCGGGAUGUGGUUAGAUGUCCACACAGUGAUUUUACCAGUCCUAUGACAUGGAGGCCCUUUAGGUCGCUGGCUUCAGCUCCGUCACAGUAUUCUUACAUGUGCUGGUGGUGCCUUGACCACUGAACCAGACUGGAGAAACUGGUGUACACUGAAUUGGAAGGUCAGAAAAGAAUUAAAGGAGCAGAUGAAAAAUCACAGAACUUCUACAUCAGUUUUGUCUUCAUUUUGGGAUCAAGUAUUCAAGACCAGACAUCAAAUGAAUGGACAUCACAAAACAAAUCCAUCAUAAAAAAACCAAACCCACAAAGGAAAGAGAGAGACAGAAGAAAGAAGCCUGAAGAUAAUCCUGUGUGCUCCAACACAAAAGCAACUAGAAAGAAAGAUUCAAGGUAAUUUAAAUGCCAUACCUACAAUAGCCCCCCUGAAGUGCAAACUCCUGAAACCAGCAACUACCUUUAGUUCCAGCCUGUGGCUGUCUCUUAAUUCUUUCUGCUGAAGGCCCU